GAGCCAUUAGCUCAGUUGGCAGAGCACCUGACUUUUAAUCAGGGUGUCGCUGGUUCGAAUCCAGCAUGGCUCA
Transfer RNA from Alicyclobacillus acidocaldarius subsp. acidocaldarius DSM 446, 73 nucleotides. It matches the Rfam family "tRNA". Rfam says of the family: Transfer RNA (tRNA) molecules are approximately 80 nucleotides in length. Their secondary structure includes four short double-helical elements and three loops (D, anti-codon, and T loops). Lineage: Bacteria; Bacillati; Bacillota; Bacilli; Caryophanales; Alicyclobacillaceae. The record is from Rfam.